RNAcentral lists this ribosomal RNA (981 nucleotides) under human gut metagenome. RNAcentral describes it as "bacterial LSU rRNA". It matches the Rfam family "Bacterial large subunit ribosomal RNA", at positions 1950 to 2925 of the family's 2925-position model. The record is from RNAcentral.
CCUAAGGUAGCGAAAUUCCUUGUCGGGUAAGUUCCGACCUGCACGAAUGGCGUAAUGAUGGCCAGGCUGUCUCCACCCGAGACUCAGUGAAAUUGAACUCGCUGUGAAGAUGCAGUGUACCCGCGGCAAGACGGAAAGACCCCGUGAACCUUUACUAUAGCUUGACACUGAACAUUGAGCCUUGAUGUGUAGGAUAGGUGGGAGGCUUUGAAGCGUGGACGCCAGUCUGCGUGGAGCCAACCUUGAAAUACCACCCUUUAAUGUUUGAUGUUCUAACGUUGGCCCCUUAUCGGGGUUGCGGACAGUGUCUGGUGGGUAGUUUGACUGGGGCGGUCUCCUCCCAAAGCGUAACGGAGGAGCACGAAGGUUAGCUAAUCCUGGUCGGACAUCAGGAGGUUAGUGCAAUGGCAUAAGCUAGCUUGACUGCGAGCGUGACGGCGCGAGCAGGUGCGAAAGCAGGUCAUAGUGAUCCGGUGGUUCUGAAUGGAAGGGCCAUCGCUCAACGGAUAAAAGGUACUCCGGGGAUAACAGGCUGAUACCGCCCAAGAGUUCAUAUCGACGGCGGUGUUUGGCACCUCGAUGUCGGCUCAUCACAUCCUGGGGCUGAAGUAGGUCCCAAGGGUAUGGCUGUUCGCCAUUUAAAGUGGUACGCGAGCUGGGUUUAGAACGUCGUGAGACAGUUCGGUCCCUAUCUGCCGUGGGCGCUGGAGAAUUGAGGGGGGCUGCUCCUAGUACGAGAGGACCGGAGUGGACGCAUCACUGGUGUUCGGGUUGUCAUGCCAAUGGCACUGCCCGGUAGCUAAAUGCGGAAGAGAUAAGUGCUGAAAGCAUCUAAGCACGAAACUUGCCCCGAGAUGAGUUCUCCCUGAGACUUUAAGUCUCCUGAAGGAACGUUGAAGACGACGACGUUGAUAGGCCGGGUGUGUAAGCGCAGCGAUGCGUUGAGCUAACCGGUACUAAUGAACCGUGAGGCUUAACCUU